GAGCUUUUCUCCGCCGAAGAGCAGUGAUCCGAAGCAGUUCCGGUACUGUGGAUGUACCGGUAACUAGAGGCUGCACGCAGGGAUCAAUCAGUGGCCCAUUUAUCUGGGACAUACUGAUGGAUGUACUGCUUCAGCGUCUCCAGCCGUAUUGCCAGCUGAGUGCAUACGCGGAUGACUUGCUGCUUCUCGUCGAGAGAAAUUCCCGAGCUGAGCUAGAGGAAAAAGGUGCAGAGCUGAUGUCCAUCGUAGAAGCGUGGGGAGCGGAAGUUGGCGUUACCGUCUCGACCAGCAAGACGGUAAUAAUGCUGCUGAAAGGUGCCUUGAGACGUGCGCCUACGGUGAGGUUUGCUGGAGCGAACCUUCCGUAUGUGCGUAGCUGUCGGUACCUUGGCAUCACGGUCAGUGAAGGAAUGAAAUUCCUCACGCACAUAGCUUCGCUUCGCCAGCGGAUGACCGGAGUCGUUGGAGCAUUGGCGCGUGUGCUUCGAGCCGACUGGGGCUUCAGUCCUCGAGCCAGGCGGACCAUAUAUGACGGACUCAUGGCACCUUGUGUGCUGUUUGGUGCCCCGGUAUGGUAUGACACCGCCGAACAGGUAGCCGCCCGGAGACGACUAGCCUCCUGCCAGAGGCUAAUCCUGCUUGGAUGCCUUUCGGUAUGCCGAACAGUGUCCACAGUGGCACUGCAGGUACUUGGCGGAGCUCCCCCGCUUGACUUGGCUGCUAAGUUUUUAGCGGUCAAGUACAAGCUGAAGCGUGGAUACCCGCUGGAGGAGAACGACUGGCUAUACGGCGAGGACACUACGUGUCUAAGCUGGAAGCAGAGGAAGACUCGCCUAGAGGAGUGCUUGCUGCAGAAUUGGCAAAACAGAUGGGAUGACGACAGCGAACCAGGACGGGUGACGCACAAGUUCAUCCCAUACGUCACUCUCGCCUAUCGAGAUCCAAGCUUUGGAUUCUCGAUGAGGACGUCUUUCCUGCUGACAGGUCACGGGUCGUUUAACGCAUUUUUGCAAGGGAGAGCCCUCAGCGAUACCACUGCUUGCGCUUGUGGUGAUCCAUAUGAGGACUGGAUGCACAUAUUGUGCGCUUGUCCUCUAUAUGCAGAUUUGCGAAACCUCGAUGGACUUGGAGUGCAGCGCCUUGGCGAAAACUGGACCUUCAAUAGAAUCCUGGAAGAUCAGCAGAGGAUUCAACGGCUGGCAGCGUUUGCGGACGAGGUGUUCCGUAGGAGGAGGGGUAUUUAGCCCAAAACUUCGCCGUGUGGUUAGCGGGCGAGAAUACUUCCACAGCCCGCUAUUGCUUGUCGUAAGAGGCGACUAAUAUAGCGACUGGUUCCUCUAACCAUGCUUGUCGGAGCAAAAGGAGGAGGCCCACCGAGCCUCUCUUUCGGUACCACGGGUUGUGCUGCUCCAAGACAGCACAUUGAGGUAGGCCCCCUGGUGGGAGUAUCGUGGUGGCUGUGGUUGAUACCCAUAUCGCGGGUAGAGCCUUCGUGUUCGACGUUUGAGUUACGGUGCUAGUUGCGCAAAACUCGGGUGCUGUGACCCAGAGAUCAGUAGAGAUUUUAGGUAGAUCUCGCUCCUCAGCAAGGGGGAGUGCUUGCCCGGCAAGCAAGUACUCGAAUUGCUACCGGGGUGGUCGCUAUGUACAUAGCUAUAGCUUCCAGUCCGGGACGUUUGUCUGGCGUAUCCAGACUCAUGCACCAUGUUGAUACAUGCACCACUUGUGGGUGUUCAGGGUGUCGUGGUUGUAAUCCCUUCAGUGUGGAACACGCCACGUAAAACAAGUUCGGAGAGGUCCGAAAGUCACUGUCCCUAUCUACUAUCUAGCGAAACCACAGCCAAGGGAACGGGCUUGGAAUAAUUAGCGGGGAAAGAAGACCCUUUUGAGCUUGACUCUAAUCUGGCAGUGUAAGGAGACAUAAGAGGUGUAGAAUAAGUGGGAGAUAUUAGACCUCGGUUUGGUAUCGUCAAUGAAAUACCACUACUCUUAUUGUUUCCUUACUUACUUGAUUAAAUGGAACGUGUAUCAUUUCCUAGCCAUUAUACGGAUAUAUUUAUUAUAUCUUAUGGUAUUGGGUUUUGAUGCAAGCUUCUUGAUCAAAGUAUCACGAGUUUGUUAUAUAAUCGCAAACAAAUUCUUUAAUAAAACGAUGCAUUUAUGUAUUUUUGAUUUGAAAAUUUGGUAUAACUCCAAUUACUCAGGUAUGAUCCAAUUCAAGGACAUUGCCAGGUAGGGAGUUUGACUGGGGCGGUACAUCUCUCAAAUAAUAACGGAGGUGUCCCAAGGCCAGCUCAGUGCGGACAGAAACCACACAUAGAGCAAAAGGGCAAAUGCUGACUUGAUCUCGGUGUUCAGUACACACAGGGACAGCAAAAGCUCGGCCUAUCGAUCCUUUUGGUUUAAAGAGUUUUUAACAAGAGGUGUCAGAAAAGUUACCAUAGGGAUAACUGGCUUGUGGCGGCCAAGCGUUCAUAGCGACGUCGCUUUUUGAUCCUUCGAUGUCGGCUCUUCCUAUCAUUGUGAAGCAAAAUUCACCAAGCGUUGGAUUGUUCACCCAUGCAAGGGAACGUGAGCUGGGUUUAGACCGUCGUGAGACAGGUUAGUUUUACCCUACUAAUGACAAAACGUUGUUGCGACAGCAUUCCUGCGUAGUACGAGAGGAACCGCAGGUACGGACCAAUGGCACAAUACUUGUUCGAGCGAACAGUGGUAUGACGCUACGUCCGUUGGAUUAUGCCUGAACGCCUCUAAGGUCGUAUCCGUGCUGGACUGCAAUGAUAAAUAAGGGGCAAUUUGCAUUGUAUGGCUUCUAAACCAUUUAAAGUUUAUAAUUUAUUUUAUAAACGACAAUGGAUGUGAUGCCAAUGUAAUUUGUAACAUAGUAAAUUAGGAGGAUCUUCGAUCACCUGAUGCCGCGCUAGUUACAUAUAAAAGCAUUAUUU
Molecule: ribosomal RNA, 2945 nt
Filed under: Drosophila sechellia
Lineage: Eukaryota; Metazoa; Arthropoda; Insecta; Diptera; Drosophilidae
Description: eukaryotic LSU rRNA
Rfam family: Eukaryotic large subunit ribosomal RNA (bases 1779-2945)
Source: RNAcentral